AUCGAUGGGAGCUUGCUCCCUGAGAUUAGCGGCGGACGGGUGAGUAACACGUGGGCAACCUGCCUAUAAGACUGGGAUAACUUCGGGAAACCGGAGCUAAUACCGGAUACGUUCUUUUCUCGCAUGAGAGAAGAUGGAAAGACGGUUUCGGCUGGCCCUUAUAGAUGGGCCCCCGGCGCCUUAACUAGUUGGGGAGGUAAUGGCUCACCAAGGGGACGAUGCGUAGCCGACCUGAGAGGGGGAUCGGCCACCCUGGGACUGAAACACGGCCCAAACUCCUACGGGAGGGAGCAGUAGGGAAUCUUCCGCAAUGGACGAAAGUCUGACGGAACAACCCCCCGUGAACCAAAAAGGCCUUCGGGUCGUAAAGUUCUGUUGUUAGGGAAAAACAAGUACCAAAAUAACUGCUGGUACCUUGACGGUACCUAACCAAAAAGCCACGGCUAACUACCUGCCCGCCGCCGCGGUAAUACCUAGGUGGCAAGCGUUGUCCGGAAUUAUUGGGCGUAAAGCGCGCGCAGGUGGUUCCUUAAGUCUGAUGUGAAAGCCCACGGCUCAACCGUGGAAGGGCAUUGGAAACUGGGGAACUUGAAUGCAGAAGAAGAAAGUGGAAUUCCAAGUGUAGCGGUGAAAUGGGUAAAAGAUUUUGGAAGAACACCAGUGGCGAAGGCGACUUUUCUGGUCUGUAACUGACACUGAA
This 700-nucleotide ribosomal RNA is filed under the name Lysobacter sp. T-1(2010). RNAcentral's name for it is "bacterial SSU rRNA". It matches the Rfam family "Bacterial small subunit ribosomal RNA", at positions 68 to 750 of the family's 1533-position model. Lineage: Bacteria; Pseudomonadati; Pseudomonadota; Gammaproteobacteria; Lysobacterales; Lysobacteraceae. The record is from RNAcentral.